This 254-nucleotide ribosomal RNA is filed under the name uncultured bacterium. RNAcentral describes it as "partial 16S ribosomal RNA". It matches the Rfam family "Bacterial small subunit ribosomal RNA", at positions 524 to 776 of the family's 1533-position model. The record is from RNAcentral.
UACGUAGGGGGCGAGCGUUGUCCGGAUUCAUUGGGCGUAAAGGGCGCGUAGGCGGCUACGUAAGUCGGAUGUGAAAACUCCAGGCUCAACUUGGAGACGCCAUUCGAUACUGCGUUGGCUUGAGUUCGGUAGGGGAUCACGGAAUAUCUGGUGUAGCGGUGAAAUGCGCAGAUAUCAGGUGGAACACCGGUGGCGAAGGCGGUGAUCUGGGCCGACACUGACGCUGAUGCGCGAAAGCGUGGGGAGCGAACAGG